RNAcentral lists this ribosomal RNA (620 nucleotides) under uncultured bacterium. Its description in RNAcentral is "bacterial SSU rRNA". It matches the Rfam family "Bacterial small subunit ribosomal RNA", at positions 128 to 727 of the family's 1533-position model. The record is from RNAcentral.
GCCCAAAAGAGGGGGAUAACACUUGGAAACAGGUGCUAAUACCGCAUAACCAUGAACACCGCAUGAUGUUCAUGUAAAAGACGGCUUUUGCUGUCACUUUUGGAUGGGCUGCGGCGUAUUAACUUGUUGGUGGGGUAACGGCCUACCAAGGUGAUGAUACGUAGCCGAACUGAGAGGUUGAUCGGCCACAUUGGGACUGAGACACGGCCCAAACUCUACGGGAGGCAGCAGUAGGGAAUCUUCCACAAUGGACGAAAGUCUGAUGGAGCAACGCCGCGUGAAUGAAGAAGGCCUUCGGGUCGUAAAAUUCUGUUGUCAGAGAAGAACGUGCGUGAGAGUAACUGUUCACGUAUUGACGGUAUCUGACCAGAAAGCCACGGCUAACUACGUGCCAGCAGCCGCGGUAAUACGUAGGUGGCGAGCGUUGUCCGGAUUUAUUGGGCGUAAAAGGGAACGCAGGCGGUCUUUUAAGUCUGAUGUGAAAAGCCUUCGGCUUAACCGAAGUAGUGCAUUGGAAAACUGGAAGACUUGAGUGCAGAAAGAGGAGAGUGGAAACUCCAUGUGUAGCGGUGAAAAUGCGUAGAUAUAUGGAAAGAAACACCAGUGGCGAAAAGCGGCUC